UACGUAGGGGGCAAGCGUUGUCCGGAAUCAUUGGGCGUAAAGAGCGUGUAGGCGGCUUCGUCAGUCCGUUGUGAAAGUCCAGGGCUCAACCCUGGAAUGCCGAUGGAUACUGCGGAGCUAGAGUACGGAAGAGGCGAGUGGAAUUCCUGGUGUAGCGGUGGAAUGCGCAGAUAUCAGGAGGAACACCUAUGGCGAAGGCAGCUCGCUGGGACGUUACUGACGCUGAGGCACGAAAGCGUGGGGAUCAAACAGG
This 253-nucleotide ribosomal RNA is filed under the name uncultured bacterium. RNAcentral's name for it is "partial 16S ribosomal RNA". It matches the Rfam family "Bacterial small subunit ribosomal RNA", at positions 524 to 776 of the family's 1533-position model. The record is from RNAcentral.